GGCCGCUUGGUCUAGUGGCAUGAUUCUCCAUUCGGGUUGGAGAGGUUGUGGGUUCGAUUCCCGCAGCGGCCC
RNAcentral lists this transfer RNA (72 nucleotides) under Perkinsela sp. CCAP 1560/4. It matches the Rfam family "tRNA". Rfam says of the family: Transfer RNA (tRNA) molecules are approximately 80 nucleotides in length. The record is from Rfam by way of RNAcentral. Lineage: Eukaryota; Euglenozoa; Kinetoplastea; Prokinetoplastida; Perkinselidae.